GAUGAAGAACGUAGCGAAAUGCGAUACGUAAUGUGAAUUGCAAAUUCAGUGAAUCAUCGAGUCUUUGAACGCACAUUGCGCCCCCUGGUAUUCCGGGGGGCAUGCCUAUCCGAGCGUCAUUGCUGCCCUCAAGCACGGCUUGUGUGUUGGGCCCCGUCCUCCGAUCCCGGGGGACGGGCCCGAAAGGCAGCGGCGGCACCGCGUCCGGUCCUCGAGCGUAUGGGGCUUUGUCACCCGCUCUGUAGGCCCGGCCGGCGCUUGCCGAUCAACCCAAAUUUUUUAUCCAGGUUGACCUCGGAUCAGGUAGGGAUACCCGCUGAACUUAAGCAUAUCAAUAAGCGGAGGA
Molecule: unclassified non-coding RNA, 346 nt
Filed under: soil metagenome
Description: partial contains 5.8S ribosomal RNA, internal transcribed spacer 2, and large subunit ribosomal RNA
Rfam family: 5.8S ribosomal RNA (bases 1-119)
Source: RNAcentral